This 501-nucleotide ribosomal RNA is filed under the name uncultured bacterium. Its description in RNAcentral is "partial 16S ribosomal RNA". It matches the Rfam family "Bacterial small subunit ribosomal RNA", at positions 30 to 523 of the family's 1533-position model. The record is from RNAcentral.
AUUGAACGCUGGCGGCAGGCUUAACACAUGCAAGUCGAGCGGGGGAAGGUAGCUUGCUACUGGACCUAGCGGCGGACGGGUGAGUAAUGCUUAGGAAUCUGCCUAUUAGUGGGGGACAACAUCUCGAAAGGGAUGCUAAUACCGCAUACGUCCUACGGGAGAAAGCAGGGGAUCUUCGGACCUUGCGCUAAUAGAUGAGCCUAAGUCGGAUUAGCUAGUUGGUGGGGUAAAGGCCUACCAAGGCGACGAUCUGUAGCGGGUCGGAGAGGAUGAUCCGCCACACUGGGACUGAGACACGGCCCAGACUCCUACGGGAGGCAGCAGUGGGGAAUAUUGGACAAUGGGGGGAACCCUGAUCCAGCCAUGCCGCGUGUGUGAAGAAGGCCUUAUGGUUGUAAAGCACUUUAAGCGAGGAGGAGGCUACUCUAGUUAAUACCUAGGGAUAGUGGACGUUACUCGCAGAAUAAGCACCGGCUAACUCUGUGCCAGCCGCCGCAGUAA